RNAcentral lists this ribosomal RNA (497 nucleotides) under uncultured bacterium. Its description in RNAcentral is "partial 16S ribosomal RNA". It matches the Rfam family "Bacterial small subunit ribosomal RNA", at positions 28 to 507 of the family's 1533-position model. The record is from RNAcentral.
GAUGAACGCUGGCGGCGUGCCUAAUACAUGCAAGUCGAGCGAACGGACGAGAAGCUUGCUUCUCUGAUGUUAGCGGCGGACGGGUGAGUAACACGUGGAUAACCUACCUAUAAGACUGGGAUAACUUCGGGAAACCGUAGCUAAUACCGGAUAAUAUUUUGAACCGCAUGGUUCAAAAGUGAAAGACGGUCUUGCCGUCACUUAUAGAUGGAUCCGCGCUGCAUUAGCUAGUUGGUAAGGUAACGGCUUACCAAGGCAACGAUGCAUAGCCGACCUGAGAGGGUGAUCGGCCACACUGGAACUGAGACACGGUCCAGACUCCUACGGGAGGCAGCAGUAGGGAAUCUUCCGCAAUGGGCGAAAGCCUGACGGGGCAACGCCGCGUGAGUGAUGAAGGUCUUCGGAUCGUAAAACUCUGUUAUUAGGGAAGAACAUAUGUGUAAGUAACUGUGCACAUCUUGACGGUACCUAAUCAGAAAGCCACGGCUAACUACGUG